AAUUAAACUGCGAAGUGGCUUCGAAUCGUUUCAAAUUAUUUGAAAUUUAACGUUCCUUAUCCCUCAAUGAAUACAUAGUCUGAAUUCAUAACAUUAAUAUUAUUUAUUUAUUGUUUUUGCAAUCUUCAAGUGUCGAAGCCAUUGUGAAACGCUAAGUAGUUUAAUGCUGAGAAUGAAAAACAGGCAUCAACAUUACUAGAAGAGAGAAUUAGAAGCAAAUGAUUAGUCUCAAGUUUACGGUAAAGGAAGUCAGUUCGAAGGGAUAGCAAAAUGUCCCGUACCAUCACCGCUAUUACAUUAAAGAGGCUCGACAAAAAGAAGUAAAUAAUUUUAAUGUCAUUAAGAACUUUUCAUGAUGCGUGACUCUAACAAAUAUAUUUAAAUAAUUUGCCGACAUAGAAGAUCGAUGAAAAUAUAUUUGUUACAUAUCUCAGAAUAAUUCUCUCUUCGGCCUGACAAUGGAUGUUCCUAAGUUGAAAUUAUUAUACUAUAUUCAUAAUCUUUAUUAUGACAAACGAAACAGCGGGGAAAAAAAAAA
This is a long non-coding RNA of Osmia lignaria (orchard mason bee), 538 nucleotides long. RefSeq lists it as uncharacterized. The record is from RefSeq and is a predicted model, not a curated record. NCBI's taxonomy places the organism in Eukaryota, Metazoa, Arthropoda, Insecta, Hymenoptera, Megachilidae.